GUGCCAGCCGCCGCGGUAAUACGUAGGUGGCAAGCGUUAUCCGGAAUUAUUGGGCGUAAAGCGCGCGUAGGCGGUUUUUUAAGUCUGAUGUGAAAGCCCACGGCUCAACCGUGGAGGGUCAUUGGAAACUGGAAAACUUGAGUGCGGAAGAGGAAAGUGGAAUUCCAUGUGUAGCGGUGAAAUGCGCAGAGAUAUGGAGGAACACCAGUGGCGAAGGCGACUUUCUGGUCUGUAACUGACGCUGAUGUGCGAAAGCGUGGGGAUCAA
Molecule: ribosomal RNA, 267 nt
Filed under: uncultured Staphylococcus sp.
Lineage: Bacteria; Bacillati; Bacillota; Bacilli; Caryophanales; Staphylococcaceae
Description: partial 16S ribosomal RNA
Rfam family: Bacterial small subunit ribosomal RNA
Source: RNAcentral